RNAcentral lists this ribosomal RNA (208 nucleotides) under uncultured bacterium. Its description in RNAcentral is "partial 16S ribosomal RNA". It matches the Rfam family "Bacterial small subunit ribosomal RNA", at positions 568 to 774 of the family's 1533-position model. The record is from RNAcentral.
CGUCUAGGCGGGGGAUUAAGUUAGGUGUGAAAUCCCUGGGCUCAACCCAGGAACUGCAUCUAAAAACUGGUUCUCUUGAGUUCGGGAGAGGAGAGCGGAAUUCCCGGUGUAGCGGUGAAAUGCGUAGAUAUCGGGAAGAACACCAGUGGCGAAGGCGGCUCUCUGGCCUAGAACUGACGCUGAAGCGCGAAAGCGUGGGGAGCGAACG